Long non-coding RNA from Ananas comosus (pineapple), 718 nucleotides. RefSeq lists it as uncharacterized. The record is from RefSeq and is a predicted model, not a curated record. The transcript is spliced from 5 exons. NCBI's taxonomy places the organism in Eukaryota, Viridiplantae, Streptophyta, Magnoliopsida, Poales, Bromeliaceae.
UUGAGGAUUUAAGCUCAUUUUCUUUCCCUCUCUUGUUGCUAACUGAUUUGGGAGGCUUUGGAGCUGUUGAAGGUUGUGAGAGAAAGGAGUUUGGAUGUAUUUCGCAGCCUCAACUCAGCAGAUAGCUGAGUUACAACUUGCUGAGUUGGGGAAACUUGUAGCAGCUAUAGAAGAUGUAUUUUGCUAUGGUUCUCCCACUCUAAUCCAGGGAAAAGCUAAGUUGGAGCUGUUGGAAGGUUAACAAUAGAGUAUUAGAAUAUUUUUGGCUGAGAUUUGAGGGCUUUCGAAGGUUGGUUUUAGUGUUCCAACCUGAACCGAAGGAAGGAUUCAAGCCUUGACACUAUACUAGGGUGUUUGGUGGCGAGCGAAGACCUUUGCUCGCAAGAUCAACGGGAGUUAUCGACUAUUUGAGCCUUCCACAGCGGAAAAGGUUAGGGUUCCUGGCAAGGGGUCAGCGGCUAGUUAGAGCCUCAUCAAUGUUAAAUAAAUAGAACCAUAUCAGCUAUUUUAGCUUAGCUCAGAGUUGUACAUUGGAACUAUGUAGAAUGUAUUUUGCACUUAUACUUUUAAGCUGUAAUUUGGGUUAUGUCGGUAUAAUCUUAAGAACUUUUAAGUUUUGCUCUGAUUACCUCAUUGAGAUAUUAUGCUUUUACUAUAUUGAUUAUAGACGCCUAGUGUACACUUGAGGUUGGGGUAUACACGGCGGGUCUGUGCACGU